Non-coding RNA from Ictidomys tridecemlineatus (thirteen-lined ground squirrel), 61 nucleotides. NCBI's taxonomy places the organism in Eukaryota, Metazoa, Chordata, Mammalia, Rodentia, Sciuridae. The record is from Rfam.
UGUGGCUCAGUGGUAGAGCACUUGCCUAGCAUGUAUGAGGCACUGGGUUCAAUUCUCAGCA